This 253-nucleotide ribosomal RNA is filed under the name uncultured bacterium. RNAcentral's name for it is "partial 16S ribosomal RNA". It matches the Rfam family "Bacterial small subunit ribosomal RNA", at positions 524 to 776 of the family's 1533-position model. The record is from RNAcentral.
UACGUAGGGUGCAAGCGUUGUUCAGAUUCACUGGGCGUAAAGGGUGCGUAGGUGGUGAGGUAAGUCGGAUGUGAAAUCUCCGGGCUCAACCCGGAAAUGGCAUUGGAAACUACCUUGCUGGAGGAUUUGAGGGGGGAUUGGAAUACUUGGUGUAGCAGUGAAAUGCGUAGAUAUCAAGUGGAACACCAGUGGCGAAGGCGAAUCCCUGGAAAAUACCUGACACUGAGGCACGAAAGCUAGGGGAGCAAACAGG